This 614-nucleotide long non-coding RNA is filed under the name Erythranthe guttata (spotted monkey flower). RNAcentral's name for it is "long non-coding RNA (EGUT_LNC000240)". The record is from RNAcentral. Lineage: Eukaryota; Viridiplantae; Streptophyta; Magnoliopsida; Lamiales; Phrymaceae.
CUUCUUCCAGAUUUACACCACCAUUAUCAUCAUCCUUCUUCCUUUUUUUCACACCACUACCGUAAUCCACUAAGCCUAGCCACACACCACCCCUUGCCGGACUGAUGCAUGAGGGAGAAUGCCGACGAAAAUUAUGGGCCCCUAACGUCGGAAACCCUAUCUCUCUCCUCUCGAUCUCUCGCGAUGUCAGCGAUAAAAGGCCGACGAUGGUGUCCGGAGAAAGGAUGCAAACGAGCUAGCAGUGAUUAUGCGGGAGGCGAUGGGGGGGAGGUUAGGGCAGGAAAAUUCAGUUGUGAAGGAACAACCGUUGUUGUUGAGUCCUCUGCUGCCGCCGCGAGUUCGGUAUCUUUCUCUCUAUUCGUCUAUCUCUUCUCGAUCUUAGUCUAUUUUCUGGUGUAAAAUUAAGUUCGAGCCAAAAAAGACGAUGAUGUUGAAGAAGAUAGGUAAACAACAAGCCAAUUGGAGAGAAUCCAUUCUGUACACAUAUAUAGUCAUACAUACUCGUACAUAGUCAUAUAUAAGAUCUGUAUGUUUUUUUUUUCUAAUGUACAGUGAUGAUGAUGGUUGUUUUUAUUUGAAGAAUUUAUACAUGUGACUUUUUGGAUCUAUUUCUG